UACGUAGGGUGCAAGCGUUGUCCGGAAUUAUUGGGCGUAAAGAGCUCGUAGGCGGUCUGUCGCGUCGGCUGUGAAAACCCGAGGCUCAACCUCGGGCCUGCAGUCGAUACGGGCAAACUAGAGUAUUGCAGGGGAGACUGGAAUUCCUGGUGUAGCGGUGAAAUGCGCAGAUAUCAGGAGGAACACCGGUGGCGAAGGCGGGUCUCUGGGCAGUAACUGACGCUGAGGAGCGAAAGCGUGGGGAGCGAACAGG
This 253-nucleotide ribosomal RNA is filed under the name uncultured bacterium. Its description in RNAcentral is "partial 16S ribosomal RNA". It matches the Rfam family "Bacterial small subunit ribosomal RNA", at positions 524 to 776 of the family's 1533-position model. The record is from RNAcentral.